Long non-coding RNA from Vicia villosa (hairy vetch), 1817 nucleotides. RefSeq lists it as uncharacterized. The record is from RefSeq and is a predicted model, not a curated record. Lineage: Eukaryota; Viridiplantae; Streptophyta; Magnoliopsida; Fabales; Fabaceae. The transcript has 2 exons.
UCAUUUUUGGGGUUUAGAUUCGUGUGAGUGGGUUUAGUUUAGUUAUCCUUUUUUUUCUAACUUUCUCUCUCUAAAAUCAAGAGAGAGAAAGAGAAAAAUAUAUGGCGAAGAAGAAGAUGAUGAUUCUCUCUCACUUCGCGCUCUCUAAUUCGCUUGGUGCAGGUCGGGAACCACUACUUCCGCAGUUUUCGUACGUAAUGACGACGGAACAAUCACCGGCGGAGAAUUGGAUCCCGCCUUGCAUCAACUGAAUCGGAGGCCGCGGUGAACCGUUGAAGCUUUCGGUUCUUUUCCAGCUCAGAUCUCAGCUCGGUGUUUGCAUAAUCAGAUUGCUCGUGGGAUUGGGGGAUUGGUUUCGAAUCUUAACUCAUCCAGAAUUGAGUUGAAGCAAUUGACAGUGCCUGAGUUGAAAUUUAUCGUGGUUGUUUCCUGUUUUUACAUAGAUUGGUUUGAAGUUUGGUGAAUUAUGCAAUAGACUUGUAAUAUAACAAAAUGUUUCGACUACUAUCUUUUUCCUUCUGCAAUUUUUUCUAUUCGUUGUAUGAUUGUCUUUGUUUUAGCAUUAAGUAUGAAUGAUCUUUAAAAUAGCUGGAAUGUCCCUGCUGUAGCCAGUAGCUAAGAUGAAUGUGUAGUUUUUGGACCACGAUUCCUUGCGGUCAAUUUUUUUUUCACAUCCUGUACAACUUGGUUGUUGGGUCGAAAUCAAACCGUCCAAAUUUCAGACUAGAUUUUUUUCUUUUAAAAUAUCAAAAGAGGUAUUGAAAUCUGGACGGUUCGAUCUCGAUUCAAUGAUCAAUUGUUCUAAAUGCGUGAUUGUGAUAUGUCCUAUGGUUAUAGUAUACUUCAUUUAUAAUCCUCUAUCCAAUUUUCACUUUGAAAAUGCACUCAUGGUCUGAAAUUGGCCUGAAUAUAUGUUGAACUGAUCUUAUACCCUUUCAAUGUUCUACCUAGUAAGAUGAUCUAUUAAAUAUUCGCAAAUUGAAAUUUUUUUCUUUUGAUAAAUGCGUAGUAAUUAGUUUGGCUGCUAGACAUGUUGACAGUAUCUUUACAGUAAAAACAGUUUAUUUGGGAAAGUUGAGCAGCAGUCCACAUCUGCCCAUUAUCUCAAGUAUCUAUCUACUCUAAAUUUUUGCUAAAUGGAGAAACAUUGGAUUCAGAUGCAUGUUGAUACUUGAAUGCUAUACAACCUGACUCACAUUUGCACCUUCAGAGCUUCCAUUUCACUGCAUUGGUUCCAUCUCACUGUACUUGCUCCCUCUACAUUUGUUUUAUAUGCUGAUUUAUCAGACUUUGUCAAUUUGCCAGUAACAGUUUGGGUGUCUAGAUGAUCUUCUCGGAAGCAUGAAGCAUGAGUAUUGUGUACUAUUAAAAAGGCGCAGGUACCGGUACAUACAUAGUACUACUGUGCCGUUUCGUAUUGGUUUGUGACAGUUGAAGAUCGGAAUUUUUCGAAUUCAUCUGCAACAGUUGAAAGAGAUCAAAUAUCCAACAAUAUUAUUAUUAUUUUAAUUUAAUAUAAUACUAUUUGUGUAUUUGAGUUUCUUUUUUGUUGUUGUUGCAGUUAUAGCCAUACUUGCAAACUUUAGGCUGGACACAUUCAUCUGUUAUAUGUGUUGUCCUUCAUUCUGCAGAUGUCCUUAUCCAGGGUAUAUAACCUAUUGUUGAGCUCUUCUAGUCUCCACAAGACAUGCUUUUAGGUUCAUUUUUGUAUGAUGUAAUGUCAACCUUGUAAUUUAUUAGUACUAUUUGGUUGGCAUGUUGUGUUGUGUUGUACACAUGUUUGGUUAAGAUCGGGAAGGAGAUAUUAUACUUUAUAA